RNAcentral lists this long non-coding RNA (2041 nucleotides) under Piliocolobus tephrosceles (Ugandan red Colobus). RNAcentral describes it as "lncRNA (ENSPTEG00000000502.1)". The record is from RNAcentral. Lineage: Eukaryota; Metazoa; Chordata; Mammalia; Primates; Cercopithecidae.
UAAUGAAAUGGUUAUAAAACAAAAAAAAUAAAAAAGAAAUUUUAUUAAAAAAUGAUGGCCAAUUAAAUGGCCUUGUUAAGUUAUCUUAUAAAAAUAUGUUGAAAGAUAAAGAAAUAAAAAUAAAAUUUGAACCGUCUAAUUUUAUUUUAAAAUCGAAAGAAAAACAAAUUGUAAAUGUUAUUAUAUAUUCAAAAGUACCACAAAAAUAUGAAUCAAUUAUAACAUGUUCUAUCAUUGAAAUACCAAAAAGGGUAGAAAAAAAAAUUAAUUACGAGUUAGAAAAAAAAGUUACUUUUGAAUCUGAAAUAAAAAAAAACAAUUUACAAACAACUAUUAAUCCUUAUGAAACAAAAAAAAAACAGAAAAUGAAGAAAAUUUUGUAUCAAAAAUAAUUAAAAUAUUAAACAAAGAAAAUAUACAAGUCUGUUUAAUAAAAAAACAGAUUAACGCACAUAUGAUUUUUGUUUUACCACAUAUUAUUAUUUUGUGUGACCAAAAUAAGGAAAUUUUUAAUAAAGAUAUAAUCAAUUUUGGGAAUAUAACAUUAGGCCAAAAAAUAACUAAAACGUUUUUUUUUGAAAAAUUUGACAAAUGCUCCAAUUAACGUAGUGGUAAUCUUUUUUUGUGCGCCUGUGGACGAUAUAUAUACGUGGUUAUGCAUGUACAAAAGGUAGUAGUAAAAUACUAAGGUGUGGUAUAUCUUUGGUUUCUCCCCCACCUUAUAUUUACUUAUUCUGUUUUUUUUUUUUUCAUCUAUGUUACAUUUAUUCCUCAUUCUUUUUUUUUUUUUUUUUUUUUUUUUUUUUUCUUUUUCUUUUUAAGGCCAAAAAACAAAAAGGGAACAGCGUUUUUACAUUUCCCAUCGAUAAAUUAACAUUAAAAGAAAAAAGUACAGAAGCCGUUUCGAUUAAUGUUAACGGCAAUAAUCCUGUUAGUAAUUAUACAGAAGUAAUUCGAUUUAAAGCAUGUAACGAUUAUUCUAUUGAACUUUUUUUAUUAUGUGAAAUUAAAAAUAUAAAAUUGGUUUUACAGAAGACUUUAUAUAUAUUUGAAAAUACCAAAAUAGGAGAUACAAUAAAUGAAAAAAUAGUAAUAAGAAAUGAUGAAGAUACAGACUUAGAUGUAGAAAUUAUAAAUUCAGGAUAUUUUUUUUAUAUAAAAAAUAAAAAAUUUAUAAUAAAAAAAAAUAGUUUUCAUUCUAUAUAUCUAGUAUGUAAUUGUAUUUAUCCAAUCAAUGUAUAUAAAAGAAUAUAUUUUUUAGUACAUUUAAAUAAAAAAAUAUUUUAUAUAGAUGUUAUUUGUAACUUUUCUAUAAGUUAUAAAAUGCCUCCUUUGUCUAUUCAUCACAUAUAUAGAUAUAAAAAUUUAAUUCAUGACAAAAAUAUAGUAUACAAUUCAUAUUAUGAAAAAAAUGAGUAUAUUGAUAUAUGGGAUUUUCCAGUCGAGUUUGAUUCGUAUGAAGAUACUACAUACGAGUUGCUGAAUGAUAUAUUGGAAAUAAGUGAAAAAGACGUAUUUGCAGUACCUAAAGAAUUAGAAGUACAAGAAAUGGAAGAAAAAGAUUUAAUGUUAAUAAAUAAAACGCCAGUUGAAUAUACAUGUGUAUGGUUAAAUGCAGUUGAUAAACAGGAGCAGGGAACUUUUGAAGUAACUCCUAAAGAAGCACCGUUGUUGCCAUUCGGCUAUCAAAAAUUUAGAGUAAAAAACAUAAAAGGUUUAAAAAAAAAAUAUGUAUGUGAAGUAUACGAAUGUAUUGUGUUUCCGUCUAAUAACAAAGACUAUACGAAAUGUAACAGCAAGACAUUAUUAGCACCUUUUUUUAUAUAUGCUACUUUUUUUCAAUUUAAUACAAAAUAUAUAUGUGAAACAGAAAACGUGCAAGACAGUUUAGUUUUUUAUCCAAAAAAAUAUAUCCUUUUUAAAUAUAAUUGAGGAAGAAUAUAGUUAUGCUAUUGUCAAAUUUGAAAAUAACUCAGAAGUUACUCAAAUUAUUGAUUUCACUCCAUAUAAAAUGAAGCCGAAAGCAUAAAGUAGUAACCGG